AUCCGUCUGACGAGUCCCAAAUAGGAUGAAACGCGUGUCCUGGAU
RNAcentral lists this non-coding RNA (45 nucleotides) under Schistosoma haematobium. The record is from RNAcentral. Lineage: Eukaryota; Metazoa; Platyhelminthes; Trematoda; Strigeidida; Schistosomatidae.